Molecule: ribosomal RNA, 398 nt
Filed under: uncultured bacterium
Lineage: Bacteria
Description: partial 16S ribosomal RNA
Rfam family: Bacterial small subunit ribosomal RNA
Source: RNAcentral
AUACGUAGGGUGCGAGCGUUGUCCGGAAUUACUGGGCGUAAAGAGCUCGUAGGUGGUUUGUCGCGUCGUCUGUGAAAUUCCGGGGCUUGACUCCGGGCGUGCAGGCGAUACGGGCAUAACUUGAGUACUGUAGGGGAGACUGGAAUUCCUGGUGUAGCGGUGAAAUGCGCAGAGAUCAGGAGGAACACCGGUGGCGAAGGCGGGUCUCUGGGCAGUAACUGACGCUGAGGAGCGAAAGCAUGGGUAGCGAACAGGAUUAGAUACCCUGGUAGUCCAUGCCGUAAACGGUGGGCGCUAGGUGUAGGGGUCUUCCACGACUUCUGUGCCGUAGCUAACGCAUUAAGCGCCCCGCCUGGGGAGUACGGCCGCAAGGCUAAAACUCAAAUGAAUUGGCGGGG